UAACGCGUAUCGAACCUGCCGCAUACCCGGGGAUAGCCUUGCGAAAGCAAGAUUAAUACCCGAUGUUCUCACUGUUCCGCAUGUUACGGUGAGCAAAGAAUUUCGGUAUGCGAUGGCGAUGCGUCCCAUUAGCUAGUUGGCGGGGUAACGGCCCACCAAGGCUCCGAUGGGUAGGGGUUCUGAGAGGAAGGUCCCCCACACUGGAACUGAGACACGGUCCAGACUCCUACGGGAGGCAGCAGUGAGGAAUAUUGGUCAAUGGGCGAGAGCCUGAACCAGCCAAGUCGCGUGAGGGAUGACUGCCCUAUGGGUUGUAAACCUCUUUUGUAUGGGGGGAAUAAGCUUUACGAGUAGAGUGAUGACAGUACCAUACGAAUAAGCAUCGGCUAACUCCGUGCCAGCAGCCGCGGUAAUACGGAGGAUCCGAGCGUUAUCCGGAUUUAUUGGGUUUAAAGGGAGCGUAGGUGGAUUGUUAAGUCAGUUGUGAAAGUUUGCGGCUCAACCGUAAAAUUGCAGUUGAAACUGGCAGUCUUGAGUACAGUAGAGGUGGGCGGAAUUCGUGGUGUAGCGGUGAAAUGCUUAGAUAUCACGAAGAACUCCGAUUGCGAAGGCAGCUCACUGGACUGCAACUGACACUGAGGCUCGAAAGUGUGGGUAUCAAACAGGAUUAGAUACCCUGGUAGUCCACACAGU
This 693-nucleotide ribosomal RNA is filed under the name uncultured bacterium. Its description in RNAcentral is "bacterial SSU rRNA". It matches the Rfam family "Bacterial small subunit ribosomal RNA", at positions 111 to 803 of the family's 1533-position model. The record is from RNAcentral.